This 334-nucleotide small RNA is filed under the name Vigna angularis var. angularis. RNAcentral's name for it is "Non-protein coding transcript". Lineage: Eukaryota; Viridiplantae; Streptophyta; Magnoliopsida; Fabales; Fabaceae. The record is from RNAcentral.
UUUAAGCUGACCUUUAACAUUUUAAAACUAUUUACUGCAUUUUUAUCAAGAAAAAUGGUGCACAACUGGACAACACUAUCCUCCAACUACUAGUCUGCAACUUCAGUAAAAUAAAAAAUAAAUUCAGUUUUCUUCUUAACCCCAUUAAUAUCUUUUCUUUGGUUUGCCUCUAACCACUGCUUUGCCUUACAUUCCACAAUCCCUUACUGCUCACAAUCAUUUCCAUUCUUACAUUCUUCAUCUUCCAUUGUUGUAUAACACUUUUCACUGCCAAAGUGAAUGUCUUUCCCAUUGUUCACAUUCCAUUGUUGUAUUAAGGUGGCUUUCCAACAUU